GCUGUGGUGUCCGAGUGGUUAAGGAGAUGGACUCGAAAUCCAUUGGGCUCUGCCCGCACAGGUUCGAAUCCUGUCCGCAGCG
RNAcentral lists this transfer RNA (82 nucleotides) under Homarus americanus (American lobster). RNAcentral's name for it is "tRNA-Ser". It matches the Rfam family "tRNA". Rfam says of the family: Transfer RNA (tRNA) molecules are approximately 80 nucleotides in length. Their secondary structure includes four short double-helical elements and three loops (D, anti-codon, and T loops). Further hydrogen bonds mediate the characteristic L-shaped molecular structure. tRNAs have two regions of fundamental functional importance: the anti-codon, which is responsible for specific mRNA codon recognition, and the 3' end, to which the tRNAs corresponding amino acid is attached (by aminoacyl-tRNA synthetases). tRNAs cope with the degeneracy of the genetic code in two manners: having more than one tRNA (with a specific anti-codon) for a particular amino acid; and 'wobble' base-pairing, i.e. permitting non-standard base-pairing at the 3rd anti-codon position. The record is from Rfam by way of RNAcentral. Lineage: Eukaryota; Metazoa; Arthropoda; Malacostraca; Decapoda; Nephropidae. RNAcentral also lists the same sequence under 2 other names.